CUAAUUUUAAGGAGAUCAAAAAGAUUUUUUUCCGUUGCCAUAGUAGCGUAAAACACAGGUGUGCAAUUCUCGGAACUGGCUGCUGCACGCCAGAUAUGUUAGAGGAGAACAUGCAAUGUGCUUGGAAUUAUCAGACGAAUUACAAAAUAAAAAUUAUAACAGGCAUAUCUAUGCGCAUUUCAUAAAGGGUUUAGUAUUAGCCGAGGCUGGUCGUCUGCAGGAAGCUUUGGAGCGAUUUCACAGCUGUAUCAAAUUAUAUUCACAAGAUCCUGAACCCCUUAAACAAGUAGCUAGAUGUUUAUAUCGUCAAGAUCGAUUCCAGUUAUCUUAUGAAGCUUAUCUCGAAGCUGACAAAUGUGCGAAACAUCCCGAUGCCGAAAUUUACUGUGGCUUAGCUGAAUGUUCGUGGAAGGUUGGGGAGGCGGUGCGUGGGGUGGAAUGGGCGAGGGCGGGGGUACAGGCCGGUGGAGGGGAGCGCGCGGGGGCGCUACUGGCGCGCCUGCUGCUCGCCUGCGAUCAACUGGAGCCAGCACUGCAGGCCUACGAUCAAACUAUAGCUGCGACCGCUUGCGGCGCGGACACGCUAGCAGCGGCGGGCGCGCUACGGUUGCGCGCCGGAGACCCACGCGGGGCCUUUCAGCUGCUGGGCGCGGCGCUAGCCCAGCGACCCGGCCAGCACGCAGCCGCUCUCGCCCUGGCCGCCAUGCUGCUCCAGCACGGGGACUCGUCCGCGGCGCUCGCUCGUCUCAAGGCAGCCCUCAACACACAUCCCACAUGCGUCGCUGCUCAUUCCAAUCUGGGCCUAGCUCUGAUCACUAGGAAGAAGUAUAUUGCGGGUCUGACGUGCCUGCAGCGGGCAGUGCAAUGGGCGCCACUGAGUGCGAGGGCAGCGCACAAUCUGGCGCUGGCCCUGCUCACCUGCCGCCGGCCCGCAUCCGCCUUUUGCCGACUGGCCAGCGCCACCGCACUGCAACCGGAACAUCCUCACACGGUUCUCCUCCUAGCUAUAGCGCUAGAACGGUUGGGUGACAGUCGUGCUGACGCGGCGUACGGGCGGGCGCUCAGUCUGGCGCCGCACGACGCCCUCGUCAGCGUCAACGUGGCCGCGAGACAUGGCAGGGCCGGCCGGCUGCAGCUCGCCCUCGAAGAAGCGAACAAUACAGUACAACUGCUGCAGGACGACAACAAAGCUGAUGCUCACCUUGCAAGUUCUUUAUCAGUUGUGAUGAAUCUACUCCAAGAAGCCGGGGCGCAGUCUGUUAUACCAGAUGGAGCUGAGCUUAACAGACCAGUAGACCGAAAAGACCGUGCUGAUGCUAUCAAUGAUAACUUCGCUCCUGAUGAAGUUUAAUCAAAUUGCUAAAUAUGAUUCUUUUGCAACUGGUGUUUGCGGUUUUCGUAAAUAUUAUGGAAUGUAAGGAGAGGAGAGCUGGUUUAGUGGUUCUACCGCCAUUAAUUAUAGGUUACGAUGAGUUUAACAUAGAGGAAACUGAAGAAGACGAGAUUACUAAUAUAAUGGAGAAUGCUGAAGAAGAUCUGAGUAAUUCGGAAGGUGUACCACCUGCACGCAGGAAAGUAUUCGAUGAAGACGAUUCGAAUAAGUUGUAUGCAAAUUAUAAUUCACACUACGGAAAAAUAAAUAGAAUGAAUUGAAAUCGUUAGCUUUUGUAACUUUAUAUUACUAAAAUCUAUUGGUUGAUAUCGUAGCUUUGAUAAAAUACAUUAUUCAGUAUAAUCUGUUACUAAUAUUUAUGUAUGCAAAAGUUUAGAUGUAUCAAUGGAUGGAACAGCUCAACGGACCUUUAUGAAUGCCACUAAUAUAGUCUGGACUAACAUAGUCUGGAAGAACACGAACUUAUUACAUUUUUUUAAUGUAAAUGCCGCCAUUUAAUUACCAUACUUCGAUACUAAACCGCUAUUUACUAAGACAACGCUAGUUAGGAACGUAUUGAAACAUAAUAAAACACAAACAUGAUAUCACAUCUUUAUUGUUAAAUUACAGUACUUAUUUUCCCUCUACCUCGUUCUUUUACAUGUUUGAUAUCCUUGCACACAUUGUAGCCUGUACCUGAUACCUUGAAUCGUAUCCUUAGUACG
Papilio xuthus (Asian swallowtail) is the source of this 2097-nucleotide RNA transcript. It is a transcript of the gene named Bardet-Biedl syndrome 4 protein, with no coding region annotated. The record is from RefSeq and is a predicted model, not a curated record. NCBI's taxonomy places the organism in Eukaryota, Metazoa, Arthropoda, Insecta, Lepidoptera, Papilionidae. The transcript is spliced from 11 exons.